This is a non-coding RNA of Gasterosteus aculeatus aculeatus (three-spined stickleback), 2583 nucleotides long. NCBI's taxonomy places the organism in Eukaryota, Metazoa, Chordata, Actinopteri, Perciformes, Gasterosteidae. The record is from RefSeq and is a predicted model, not a curated record.
UCAUCAGGCAUCAAUGCCCCGCUGCCGGCAGCCUGCCAGUUUCACCCCCCAACGGGGUUGUCAGCUAUCUGACAUGGCGGAGGGGGGGUAACAGGCAGCGCGGCACAAUGCAUCCAUGGGCGAUCCAAAAAUAGAGAAUCGAGAAGAGUUGGGAAAAUGGGACUUGACCCCGGAGAUGGAGAGAGAAAGUGAGCACAUAGUAGAGAAGCAGCAGUGGAUCUCCUGCGUGAAGGAUCACUGACGGGUCUGCAGUAGGAAUACAAGUCUACACAUGAAGUCUGCUACACGUCAUGAUUUGCGUGAUUUGGGAGACCACAGUGCUGGCGACGUCACAAACUCACGUUAACACAACGCGACGGUUAACGUUGCACGCGCGUUAGCCGAGAUUUCUUCCACGAGUUUUUUUUUCUUCAUUUUUUUAAUUUUUUAAACCACGAUAAUUUUUCUUCCUGGUCUUCUUCUCUAACCUCGGACUUAGAAAAAAAGAUGAUAAUAACCCAAAACAAGAAACCGACGAAUACACAUCAUGACUAAACGGACCUUGUUAUCAUGUCGCGGGACGCCGACCGUUGAAACUGUAGCAGCGCUCAUGCUAGCGAGCAGCGAGCCUUCAACGCAGUUUCUUUCGACGUGAAUCCGACUCAAUAUCGGCGGCGAUUAAAACACCCGCACGGUUCACCCAAAGGCUCCCGAAGACACGUUCGUUUUCGUCCGGGCAACAAAUUCAAGUUGGUCUCCACUCAAACCUCGCUGUGCGCUUUGGCAAAGCGGUCGAUGCUAACCAGCCGCGCUAGCUCGCUAGCAUGCCCGAGACAAAAGCCUGAAUGAAGUUCCUAUGGGUGCAAACACCCAUCCAGGUGCCGCCGCUCUCUGCCAGGAGUGCACACGCCCGGGAAUCAGACGCACGUAUCGUUUCGAGAGGGAAAAGACGCCUGACAACGUGGAGCCUCGUCAAGAAGAAACGACACGCGGAGGGCGUCCUGUUCCGGGGUCACAUCCCUCCAGUCGGCGCAGCUUCGGCGAACUACCGACUCAGCGCAGCGAGCGUCCUGCUGCAUGUUCAGUACCGCCACCGGCCGCAGGGGGCGCCACCGCACCGGGAAACGCUGGCCCUCUUCAGAACUACACAUGGCAUAUCACUGGAUUAUAACUGCAUUAAAGUGUGGGAAUUACUAAUGGUGCAAGGAGUUAUUCAAACUACUUUUCUUUGACUGCUGUAUCAACACAAAUACCUCAUAAGUGUAUUAGUACAUUUAGGUACUGUAUUAAUGAUCUGAAUCUUCAAAGAUACUAGAUAACAAAUGCACGUAGUGCAGUGAAAAGUACAACACUGUUUAAAAAAAUACGGUGUAGAAGUAAUAUAAGUAGAUUUAAAUUGAAAAAAAAUACCCAAGUAUCAAAUCAGAAGUGUACAGUACUGCACUGCUAAACGCAGGUCUGCUAAAGAACAAAACCUUACUGAUUGAAGUAAUUUAAUUUGGAAAAAUCUGAUGUCCUUGCUUGUCAAAUGUUCAUCCCAAAUCUGACAAAUGUAUUUUUUAAGGAAGCUCAUUUAUUUUUUAGGCAAGUCCUUCAUGGAAAGUGUUACCCACAAAAAUUGAACAAAGUAUUCCAGUGUCAAAUGUGUACUGGCUUUAAAGUUACAAAAAUGUGCAGCCAACAUUGAUGCUAUUCAUAUGUAAAUGUUUCAUGUAUAUACUAGUAAAGCGAUCACAACAUUCAAGUUGUGCUAUGAAUAUAUAACUUGAAUACACUUGAAAUCAUCAGUAUCUCUCAUCCUUACAGUAUGUUUACUAGAAUUCGCCACAUGUCUUAUAUGAGAAUGUGGUUCUGUGUCCAAAAUAGAGAAAGAAAACCAUACAAAAAACAAUGACCGUAUUAUACAAUAUGUAGACUGUUUGUAGUAACCACCUUCCACUCAGUUUAAUUAACAAACGUGUUUUUUGUGAAGUGUAAACUCCCACAGACUCGUACAAAAAGCUAUUGCUUUGAAACACUGCGCCUACUUAAUGAUUGGGUGAAUUCGGUGGGACUUCAUCUUUGAUCAGGCUUUUUUAAAGUUUUUAAAUUAAUUAAGCAUUUAAAUUAAAUUAAACUAAUCUAACAUAUGGCUCCUAGAAAGUCAGCUCUGCUGUUGCACACUGUUAAUUGAGUGUGUGUGUUUCCCUGAAGCGGUUGCAAAAACAGGAUGCAGAUAAAGGAGAUGCGUCUCCAUUGGACAUAUCUUGACAGGAUCAUUUAUCAGCUUUAGCGGCACACGUGUAAACAAUAUCUGAAUGAUAAAAUAAUUGUACCAUCUGACAGAAUUCAUGAAUUACAAACAAUUAAAAAGCCAACGGCAGAAUAUUUAGCUAUUUGCAAACAUUGCUCAUACAUUCAAUGGACUCACUCCUUCUGGCUUAAAGCAGCAUAGUUUGGUUGAGUCCAUUCUUACGGACAUUAAUGACCUAUAUGGAAAAAGGCUUCCCACUGUGACUUAUUGAGUAAGGUAAGGUAAGGUAAGUACCUUGGUUUACAUCUACAGCUACACUUGUUAUUCUCUGAAACUCAUCAUCGUGGAUUGUUUGUAUAUGAAAUAAAAAA